CCUACGGGAGACAGCAGUGAGGAAUAUUGGUCAAUGGGCGCGAGCCUGAACCAGCCAAGUAGCGUGAAGGAUGACUGCCCUACGGGUUGUAAACUUCUUUUAUCAAGGAAUAAAGUGAGGCACGUGUGCCUUUUUGUAUGUACUUUAUGAAUAAGGAUCGGCUAACUCCGGGCCAGCAGCCGCGGUAAUACGGAGGAUCCGAGCGUUAUCCGGAUUUUUUGGGGUUAAAGGGAGCGGAGAUGGGUUGUUAAGUCAGUUGUGAAAGUUUGCGGCUCAACCGUAAAAUUGCAAUUGAUACUGGCAGUCUUGAGUGCAGGUGAGGUAGGCGGAAUGCGUGGUGUAGCGGUGAAAUGCUUAGAUAUCACGAAGAACUCCGAUUGCGAAGGCAGCUUACUAAACUGCCACUGACAUUGAUGCUCGAAAGUGUGGGUAUCAAACAGGAUUAGAUACCCGAGUAGUC
This 460-nucleotide ribosomal RNA is filed under the name uncultured bacterium. RNAcentral describes it as "partial 16S ribosomal RNA". It matches the Rfam family "Bacterial small subunit ribosomal RNA", at positions 338 to 795 of the family's 1533-position model. The record is from RNAcentral.